AAACCAUGUAUCAGACAUUUUCUAAUCAAUUCCUUGAAUCACUCCCAAGCUUCAUACAAUGUCUCAUCUUCAGAUUGUCGAGAAGAUGUAAUAUCGUUCCUCAAUUC
This is a non-coding RNA of Gossypium raimondii (Peruvian cotton), 107 nucleotides long. The record is from Rfam. NCBI's taxonomy places the organism in Eukaryota, Viridiplantae, Streptophyta, Magnoliopsida, Malvales, Malvaceae.